This 211-nucleotide unclassified non-coding RNA is filed under the name uncultured Ceratobasidium. RNAcentral describes it as "sequence contains ITS1". The record is from RNAcentral. Lineage: Eukaryota; Fungi; Basidiomycota; Agaricomycetes; Cantharellales; Ceratobasidiaceae.
UUGAAUUUUAAUGAGGAGUUGGUUGUUGCUGGCCUUGGGAUUUUUUUAAUUAAUUGUUCCAGGCACUUGUGCACACCUUCUCUUUCAUCCACACACACCUGUGCACUUGUGAGACAGAUGUGGGGACUUUAUUGAACCCCGUCUGUCUACUUAAUUUACACACACUCUAUUUAAUUUAAACUGAAUGUAAUUGAUGUAACGCAUCUAAUAC